AUUUCCCGAAGAAGUGAUGGAUGAGAAGAACGGGUCACCCAGGAGAACAAAACCAAAUGGAAACAACACAGAAGGCCUGAAAGACAAGUUCUCUGAGAAGGCUGGAAAAGUCCCUUGCCAGAGUGGAAUGCUCACGAGCUGCUGGAGGACAAGGUCGCCCGCCAGGAGGAUGGGGCCGCACAACUCCUGCAUUCUACUUAGAAGACAAGCAAGGGCAAGCACAACAACACCAUGACCACCUCCAAGGUUCUUCAUAUAAAGCAAGAUCAGACUGCAACCUGCCUUUGAUUGGAAAACCAAAAGAUCUGCCAGUUUAUAUUUUUGGUACCUACAAAACAUCUGUUGCUUGGGAAAGUGGACUCAUUCACAAAGUUUAUCAUCAUCAAAUCAAACUGUUGCAAACCUCAUAAUAUGAGAGCCGUCUUCGUAUUUAAUAGUAAACUCACCAGGCUUGUGGGCUGAUGCCUGAUAAACCAACUUUUUGGAAUUUUUA
Octodon degus (degu) is the source of this 493-nucleotide long non-coding RNA. RefSeq lists it as uncharacterized. NCBI's taxonomy places the organism in Eukaryota, Metazoa, Chordata, Mammalia, Rodentia, Octodontidae. The transcript is spliced from 3 exons. The record is from RefSeq and is a predicted model, not a curated record.